UGUCCAGACUCCUACGGGAGGCAGCAGUUAGGAAUAUUCGGCAAUGGGGGAAACCCUGACCGAGCGAUGCCGCGUGUGAGAUGACGGCCCUAUGGGUUGUAAAUCCCUUUUAUUUGGGAAGAAUUGUAAGCAUAGGAAAUGAUGUUUACUUGACGGUACCUUUUGAAUAAGCCCCGGCUAACUACGUGCCAGCAGCCGCGGUAAUACGUAGGGGGCGAGCGUUAUCCGGAUUUAUUGGGCGUAAAGCGUGCGUAGGCGGCUUGUUAAGUCCAGAAUUAAAGCCCGAGGCUUAACCUCGGUUCGUUCUGGAUACUGGCAAGCUUGAGUAUGGUAGAGGCAAAUGGAAUUCCUAGUGUAGCGGUGAAAUGCGUAGAUAUUAGGAGGAACACCAGUGGCGAAGGCGAUUUGCUGGGCCAUCACUGACGCUGAGGUACGAAAGCGUGGGUAGCAAAUAGGAUUAGAUACCCUAGUA
Molecule: ribosomal RNA, 472 nt
Filed under: uncultured bacterium
Lineage: Bacteria
Description: bacterial SSU rRNA
Rfam family: Bacterial small subunit ribosomal RNA
Source: RNAcentral